Molecule: long non-coding RNA, 1239 nt
Filed under: Gossypium barbadense (sea-island cotton)
Lineage: Eukaryota; Viridiplantae; Streptophyta; Magnoliopsida; Malvales; Malvaceae
Description: long non-coding RNA (GBAR_LNC017928)
Source: RNAcentral
GCCCAUGAGCACCUCUAGAUAAAACUGUUCACUUCAUUUAUAAUCAGGAGAUGAUCAAAUGGAAUAAUUAAAAAAACUUAAUACACAUUUAUUGAUUGAAUGUAAUACAUUUAUUAAUUGAAUGUAAAGGAGCUUAUAAAUAGCACAUUGUAAUUGAAAAUUAAACAAUGAUAUUUUUCAUCCACUUAUUAUUGUUGUUUUAUUAAUUUUUCUAUAACAAAGAUCAUAAAAAAAUUAUACAUAAAAAUAUAUUAAAAAUUAAAAAAUUAAACUAAAUUAAGAAAUAAACAAAAAUUUCUUCAUUUUUCCCUCUUCUCUCCGGAAAACCCUCAACUUUCUUAAUCUUCUCUUCAGCAAAUUGUUGUUGUAGCCGCCUUUAUCUUCACUAGAAAACCCCUCUUCACCUCUUUCGAUUCCUCCAAGCUCAAAGGUGAGAAACCUCUGGGUUGCUACUGCCGCCACUUACACCGCUGCUGUCCGAUGAGCUUUUCCGUUACAACAGCCACUAGAGUCUUUCUCUUCUUCUCUUUAAAACUAAGAGCAAUUCCAUGGCUACCUGGGAAGCAUUCAACACAUCCUGUUCAAACGAACAAGUAAAGAAUGGAAUGGCAGUCGAUUUGGAUAAAAAGCAACAUAUGAAUAGUCUCAACAUUAACACAAAGUAACCACUGUAAAGAUCAAGAAAAUCCCAAAAUGUAAGAUAAUAAAAAAAACUUGAAAAUAUUGCAUCUAUUAGCUAAAAUUGUAUCAAAGAGCUUUAUUUACAGUCUAAUAAAACCCACUAAAUACUAGAGAAGAAGAAAAAUCCUAUAAAUCAAAUAAACCUAAAUUGCAUUAUUUUAUCAUAAAAAUCAAAACCCAAAACCUAAAAUCAAAUAACGCAAAUUGCAUCAUUUUUAAAAAAAAAUCAUCAAAGAGAGAAGAAAAUAAAAAGCAAAACUCCAAAAACAACAAAGCCGAAUAAAUAUAAUGUUGAACACCGAAAACAAAAUAGAAAACCCUAGAAGCAUGAAAGGAUCAACUAUUCGAAAAAGGCAACGAAAACAACUUGAAAAGAUAUGAGAUAGAAACGAGAAAGGAAAAAACAAAGAAAAGAAAAGAGAGGCCUUAUGUAUGUGUCAUGGGUUGCGCGGAAGAAUGAAUAGCACAUUUGGUUGAUCCAUUUUAUUCGUGAGGGUCAUAUGGUCCAAUAGGAUUGACCCGUUACUUAGAGAGACUGAAAAUUCAUCUACAUUACAU